Molecule: unclassified non-coding RNA, 253 nt
Filed under: uncultured Paracoccaceae bacterium
Lineage: Bacteria; Pseudomonadati; Pseudomonadota; Alphaproteobacteria; Rhodobacterales; Paracoccaceae
Description: uncultured Rhodobacteraceae bacterium contains 16S-23S intergenic spacer region
Rfam family: Bacterial small subunit ribosomal RNA
Source: RNAcentral
UACGGAGGGGGCUAGCGUUGUUCGGAAUUACUGGGCGUAAAGCGCACGUAGGCGGACUGGAAAGUUGGAGGUGAAGUCCCGGGGCUCAACCUCGGAACUGCAUUCGAAACUAUCAGUCUGGAGUUCGAGAGAGGCGAGUGGAAUUACGGGUGUAGAGGUGAAAUUCGUAGAUAUUCGGAGGAAUACCAGUGGCGAAGGCGGCUCACUGGCUCGAUACUGACGCUGAGGUGCGAAAGCGUGGGGAGCAAACAGG